Molecule: small RNA, 122 nt
Filed under: uncultured Clostridium sp.
Lineage: Bacteria; Bacillati; Bacillota; Clostridia; Eubacteriales; Clostridiaceae
Description: ydaO/yuaA leader
Rfam family: c-di-AMP riboswitch aptamer (ydaO/yuaA leader)
About the family: This family represents a conserved RNA structure found upstream of the ydaO and yuaA genes in Bacillus subtilis and related genes in other bacteria. The ydaO/yuaA element is thought to act as a genetic "off" switch for the ydaO and yuaA genes in its native state.
Source: RNAcentral
CAAGCCUAAAUUUCAGUGAUGAAAUGCGGGGGAUAAUAUCUAGGGGUGAAUCUUUCUUUUAAAGUAGGGGUAUCCCACAGUCCCGAACCCGUCAACUAACUCCGUAGGCAAAAUUAAGGGGG